Molecule: small nucleolar RNA, 180 nt
Filed under: Mastacembelus armatus (zig-zag eel)
Lineage: Eukaryota; Metazoa; Chordata; Actinopteri; Synbranchiformes; Mastacembelidae
Description: Small nucleolar RNA SNORA23 (ENSMAMG00000015957.2)
Rfam family: Small nucleolar RNA SNORA23
About the family: The members of this family belong to the H/ACA class of snoRNAs which are thought to guide the sites of modification of uridines to pseudouridines.
Source: Rfam by way of RNAcentral
GGUGGCUGGUGUGCAUGGUGUUAGUCUGUGUUAUGUAUUGUUGCCCGACUGUGUUUUGCAGCCUGGCAGCAGUGCUCACUCCACACCUGCAGCCAUAGAACAACUGGAGAUCAUAGUACUGGCCCUUGACGUCUUAAUUGACAUCACACCAUUGGCCAGCCUCCAAAUUCUCCAACAUGU